This 492-nucleotide ribosomal RNA is filed under the name uncultured bacterium. RNAcentral describes it as "partial 16S ribosomal RNA". It matches the Rfam family "Bacterial small subunit ribosomal RNA", at positions 29 to 507 of the family's 1533-position model. The record is from RNAcentral.
AGUGAACGCUGGCGGUAUGCCUAACACAUGCAAGUCGAACGGCAGCACAGUAAGAGCUUGCUCUUACGGGUGGCGAGUGGCGGACGGGUGAGGAAUACAUCGGAAUCUACUUUUUCGUGGGGGAUAACGUAGGGAAACUUACGCUAAUACCGCAUACGACCUACGGGUGAAAGCAGUGGAUCUUCGGACCUUGCGCGAUUGAAUGAGCCGAUGUCGGAUUAGCUAGUUGGCGUGGUAAAGGCCCACCAAGGCGACGAUCCGUAGCUGGUCUGAGAGGAUGAUCAGCCACACUGGAACUGAGACACGGUCCAGACUCCUACGGGAGGCAGCAGUGGGGAAUAUUGGACAAUGGGCGCAAGCCUGAUCCAGCAAUACCGCGUGGGUGAAGAAGGCCUUCGGGUUGUAAAGCCCUUUUGUUGGGAAAGAAAAGCAGCAGGUUAAUACCUCGCUGUUCUGACGGUACCCAAAGAAUAAGCACCGGCUAACUUCGUG